AACCUCCGCAAUGCGAGCAAUCGCGACGGGGGGACCCCAAGUGCUACUCUUAACGGGGAGCUUUUAUGAAGUGCUUUAAGAAUAAGGGGUGGCAAGCUGGUGUCAGCCGCCGCGGUAAUACCAGCACCCCGAGUGGUCGGGACGAUUAUUGGGCCUAAAGCAUCCGUAGCCGGCCUUACAAGUCCCCCGUUAAAUCCACCCGCUCAACGGUUGGGCCGCGGGGGAUACUACAGGGCUAGGAGGCGGGAGAGGCAAGCGGUACUCGAUGGGUAGGGGUAAAAUCCACUGAUCCAUUGAAGACCACCAGUGGCGAAGGCGGCUUGCCAGAACGCCUCGACGGUGAGGGAUGAAAGCUGGGGGAGCAAACCGGAUUAGAUACCCGGGUAGUCCCAGCUGUAAACGAUGCAGACUCGGUGAUGGGCGGUGCCGCAGGGAAGCCGUUAAGU
RNAcentral lists this ribosomal RNA (446 nucleotides) under uncultured archaeon. RNAcentral's name for it is "bacterial SSU rRNA". It matches the Rfam family "Archaeal small subunit ribosomal RNA", at positions 345 to 820 of the family's 1478-position model. The record is from RNAcentral.